UACGGGAGAAAGCAGGGGACCUUCGGGCCUUGCGCUAUCAGAUGAGCCUAGGUCGGAUUAGCUAGUUGGUGAGGUAAUGGCUCACCAAGGCGACGAUCCGUAACUGGUCUGAGAGGAUGAUCAGUCACACUGGAACUGAGACACGGUCCAGACUCCUACGGGAGGCAGCAGUGGGGAAUAUUGGACAAUGGGCGAAAGCCUGAUCCAGCCAUGCCGCGUGUGUGAAGAAGGUCUUCGGAUUGUAAAGCACUUUAAGUUGGGAGGAAGGGUUGUAGAUUAAUACUCUGCAAUUUUGACGUUACCGACAGAAUAAGCCCCGGCUAACUCUGUGCCAGCAGCCGCGGUAAUACAGAGGGUGCAAGCGUUAACCGGAAUUACUGGGCGUAAAGCGCGCGUAGGUGGUUUGUUAAGUUGGAUGUGAAAUCCCCGGGCUCAACCUGGGAACUGCAUUCAAAACUGACUGACUAGAGUAUGGUAGAGGGUGGUGGAAUUUCCUGUGUAGCGGUGAAAUGCGUAGAUAUAGGA
RNAcentral lists this ribosomal RNA (525 nucleotides) under Pseudomonas lactis. Its description in RNAcentral is "bacterial SSU rRNA". It matches the Rfam family "Bacterial small subunit ribosomal RNA", at positions 195 to 701 of the family's 1533-position model. The record is from RNAcentral. Lineage: Bacteria; Pseudomonadati; Pseudomonadota; Gammaproteobacteria; Pseudomonadales; Pseudomonadaceae.